Molecule: ribosomal RNA, 129 nt
Filed under: Xeromphalina sp.
Lineage: Eukaryota; Fungi; Basidiomycota; Agaricomycetes; Agaricales; Mycenaceae
Description: partial large subunit ribosomal RNA
Rfam family: Eukaryotic large subunit ribosomal RNA
Source: RNAcentral
CGGCAACAGCUCAAAUUUAAAAUCUGGCGGUCUCUGGCCGUCCGAGUUGUAAGUUAGAGAAGUGUUACCCGCGCUGGACCGUGUACAAGUCUCCUGGAACGGAGCGUCAUAGAGGGUGAGAACCCCGUC